CCUGGUGAUUUAACUUGAUGUGUCCCACCUCUUCCCAUUCCGAACAGAGCCGUGAAAGCAUCAGGUUCCGAUGAUACUUGAAUCCUUGCGAUUUCGGGAAAGUAGGAUUUGCCAGGA
This 117-nucleotide ribosomal RNA is filed under the name bacterium. The record is from RNAcentral.